Zonotrichia albicollis (white-throated sparrow) is the source of this 1661-nucleotide long non-coding RNA. NCBI's taxonomy places the organism in Eukaryota, Metazoa, Chordata, Aves, Passeriformes, Passerellidae. The record is from Ensembl.
AAACCAAGAGCUAAAUUGAUUUAUAGCCAUGGUUACUCGAAAUGCUCAGAGUUUAAUCUAUUCAUAGAAAUGCUCUAGAAAUCCCACAGGAUUCCAAUGGAAUAAAAAGGAGCCGUGCUCUUAGGCAGGCAUUAUUUAUACACCUUGCUCCUAAAGCAACAGCUUUCCCAUGCAGUUGGAAGAGUUGUGGGUGGCAGCACACAAUGGUAAAAAGAUAAAAUAUUGAACAGCUUUCUUAAAUUAGCAUUUUCCUUACAUUUUACCUUUUAAACUGAUUGUUUUGUUUUACCUCACAGGCCCAAGUAACCUUGUGGCUAUCGCUUUAUGAGCUAGAUGAUAGAUCCUACCCAAAAUGGGCUCAGCAUAAAGAAUUUUCCCAUUGAAAAUACUCUUAACAGAGAUAGUGAUUUAAAGAAAUUUCAUUUUUUAAUCCUUUCAAUGAACUCAUGAGAUGCUUCACUAUUUCACAGCCACAGACCUGAGUGAGAAGGACACUGAGGAUUUCUGGAGCACAAGAGUUUCUGUGGGAGACAUCAGCACCUGCAAAGCCAAAGCUGACACUUUGGAUGACAAUGAUGUGACAAAGAACAGCCAACAAUGUGCUGCUUUAGCUGGAGAAAAAUUCAGGAUUCAGAUAAGAAAGAAAGGAAACAAUUCCUAAUGGAGAAUCGUGUUCCCUUCUGCCUCUCCUGUGGGAUCCAGGUUAGAGCUGCUCCUUUCCAGGACUGCUGUUUCCCUCCAGAUGUGUGACUACGUGUGCAGGCUGCAUUUGCAUGUGGAGAUGAAUGAGGCUGAUAAUAGCAGCACUUAGCAGGAAGUGCCGUGUGAUGUAACAUUUCCUUGAUCUAACCUGCUGUUGGUCUUGUGCUGCCUUCCCUGAGCUACCCGGGUUGAUCCUCAACAGCAUCCAGCAAGACAAAACACGCCUGGCUGCACAGGGACGGCAGCACAGGCACGGGGCUUUGCUCUGAGCAAAAUCGGCUGCUGGGGAAACUCAGAGUUCUCUCUUCCCUGAAGAUUUCAGUUGUUCAGUGCCAUCAUCCCCACCCCUCCUCUCUGAGGGUGAAGCUUUGUGGGCAGUGCUGUGAGCACGGGGCUCUCCGAACACUUGGAAGGAAAUUAAGAGAACAAAUCAGGUGCUGACACACAGCAGCGCUUCCCAGGGAGAUACGAUGUAGCUCGUCAGCAAAGCUGCCCUCAGUUCUGACAGGACACACCCCUGGCCAGACCAGAAUCGGUACCGCAGCAAAACCAAACCCCAAAUCCAAACCAGCCACGUGGGACAGCUGCUGCCACCUCUGCCUUUCCCCCUCACCCUGAUCUUCCUGCAGCUCCCAAAUCCCCAGCUCAGCUCCGAGCAGAGAGCAGCUCCCAUCAGGUGCAGUUUUUGAUCUGCACUUGCAGUUUUAUUGCCAUUUCUUCCCAGUUGUCAGCCCUGCAGCUCAGUGCAGCCAGGGUGAUGGAUGUCUCUGCUGGGCCAUGCAUUUUCUGCUGCUCCUCCUGCACCAGGAGGAGAUGAAGGGAAGUGCUGAUGUCCACGGAGCUCUGGAGGGAGGCACAGCAGUGCCAGAGCUUGUGCAUCUCUUAUCAACAUGAAUGACCCCUGCUCUCAACUUCCACAGGCCUUGGACACAACGAGGGCGUUUCCUUCCUCAGCCAGC